GGAUGUGAGGGCGAUCUGGCUGCGACAUCUGUCACCCCAUUGAUCGCCAGGGUUAAUUCGGCUGAUCUGGCUGGCUAGGCAGGUGUCCCCUUCCUCCCUCACCGCUCCAUGUGCGUCCCUCCCGAAGCUGCGCGCUCGGUCAAAGAGGACAACCUUCCCCGAUAGAGGAGGACCGUUCUUCGGUCAAGGGUAUAUGAGUAGCUGCGUUCCCCUGCUAGAACCUCCAAACAAGCUCUCAAGUCCAAGAAACUGAGUGUGACCCUUUCUCCCCAACACUUUCAUGCCCUGCAAGCAAAAUCUU
Molecule: small nuclear RNA, 301 nt
Filed under: Ursus maritimus (polar bear)
Lineage: Eukaryota; Metazoa; Chordata; Mammalia; Carnivora; Ursidae
Description: 7SK RNA (ENSUMAG00000020450.1)
Rfam family: 7SK RNA
About the family: 7SK was discovered as an abundant small nuclear RNA in the mid-70s but a possible function has only recently been suggested. Two independent studies have found that 7SK RNA binds the CDK9/cyclin T complex (known as elongation factor P-TEFb). P-TEFb activates transcription by phosphorylating the C-terminal domain of RNA polymerase II.
Source: RNAcentral